AUUAAAAUGUAGAGCCCCUGGCCCAGUGGCCAGGAUCCAGGCAGUGUGAGUGCCACUGAAAAUCAGCUCGGGUGCUGUCUUUGGCACCCAUGCCCUACGUAGCCUACCCCGAUCUAGUCUGACCUGCC
Long non-coding RNA from Gopherus evgoodei (Goodes thornscrub tortoise), 128 nucleotides. RefSeq lists it as uncharacterized. The transcript has 3 exons. The record is from RefSeq and is a predicted model, not a curated record. Lineage: Eukaryota; Metazoa; Chordata; Testudines; Testudinidae.